RNAcentral lists this ribosomal RNA (397 nucleotides) under uncultured bacterium. Its description in RNAcentral is "partial 16S ribosomal RNA". It matches the Rfam family "Bacterial small subunit ribosomal RNA", at positions 523 to 918 of the family's 1533-position model. The record is from RNAcentral.
AUACGUAGGGGGCAAGCGUUAUCCGGAUUUACUGGGUGUAAAGGGAGCGUAGACGGCGAUGCAAGUCUGAAGUGAAAACCCGGGGCUCAACCCCGAGGACUGCUUUGGAAACUGUGUUGCUGGAGUGCAGGAGAGGUGAGUGGAAUUCCUAGUGUAGCGGUGAAAUGCGUAUAUAUUAGGAGGAACACCAUGGGCGAAGGGGGCUCCCUGGACUGAAACUAACGUAGAGGUUCGAAAGCGUGGGGGGCAAAAGGGAUUAGAUUCCCUGUUAGCCCACGCCGUAAACGAUGAAUGCAAGGUGUCGGGGGGCAAAGCCCUUCGGUGCCGCAGCUAACGCAUUAAGCAUUCCACCUGGGGAGUACGUUCGCAAGAAUGAAACUCAAAGGAAUUGACGGGG